Molecule: long non-coding RNA, 3485 nt
Organism: Onychostoma macrolepis
Lineage: Eukaryota; Metazoa; Chordata; Actinopteri; Cypriniformes; Cyprinidae
Exons: 3
Source: RefSeq, a predicted model, not a curated record
CCUUAAAAUAAAGUCUUAAAACUCUUAAAAUCUUAAUACUAUACAGAAAAAAGAUAGAUGCCCACUUUAGUUACUUCUCAUUAGUAAUAAACAUUCUUUUUUCUUCUUCUUUUUAUUAUUUUCCUUCAGACAGGUGCAUUAGAUCUGUCUGGUUACUAAUUGUGCAUAAUUUAGUUGAAUAGUUAAAAUCAAAUCAAAAUCAAAGCAAAUUUAAAUCAAAUAUUCAAAACAUCAAAGUUUCUCUUCAAAGGGGUUUUACUCAAUAACACUGUGUUUUUCUCAAGAAAGAGUCUUGUUUUUUUCACAGUUAAAAAGAUAUGAAUCUUAAACUCAAAUUUUCCAUUUAGUUUAGUGCUUAUGUGCUUAUGAGAGAAAUGGGAAAGGAAAUAGGUAGGACAGAGGCUGAUGUGGGUAAAUUAUUAAUUGCUUAUGUGGUGAGUUUGUGGUACAUUUGGUUUGUAUGCAUGCAGUAAUGGCAAAAGCCUUAUUUUCUUUAGACUCUGGUGGAUGAGGAAGUAUCACAUUUACUGCAUCUCUCAGAAUGAAUCACAAAGAGCAGGUUUUAGUUUUUGCAAGACAGCACUUUGGUCAUUUCCGUAUUACUUUGGCAAUGUACACCACGUGAGAACCCAAAUGAUGCUCAAGAUUAUCUCAAAACUAAUGUGUGUAAGUAAUAUGCUUCUUCUACCUGUACAUUUACUUUGUCAGUAUAUUUAAUGACAUGAUAUUGUAUAUGUUCACUUUAUCUGUCCAUUAUCUGUCUGAUAAGUCCUAAAAGAUAUAUACAGAUAAGUGACAAAAGAACAUGCGAGGGAAGUACAUAUUCAUGUAUUGUUGUUGUUUAUGCGGUGAGUAUGUUUGUGCGUUUCAGGCCCUAUAAGAAACAUCAUUAAAAUGACCAGUAGAUGGCGCUAAUAGGGUUUCUGCAAAAAGUGUUUUACUAUUCAGUCCAACAUAAAUUCCAUUCCACACACUGCAGAAACACUAGUCUGACAGAGAAAACUGGAUUACAGAGUUAUUAGAAGGUUAUUGCAGUAACUCUGGUUGUAGUUGAAUUAAAAGGGCAAAUAAGGUGUGGGCGAUAACAAGACAUUGAUGCAUUCAAUUGUUUUAUGUAUUCUGGAGUAGAGUAUCUCAUCUCCACAAUAUCUACUGCAAUGGAUUUUCAUGAAAUUCCUACAUAAUAUUAGUAUUAAUUAGUUGCUUUAAAAUAAAAUCAAUGUAAACUGAAGUAAAAUUAAACCUAAAUCAAAUAAAAUCUAAAAAAAAAAAGAAGAAAAAAAAGAUUUUAAUUAAACGGAUUCAAAAUUUCUCAGUUCAAUUCAGUUUAGUUGAAGUACUUUAAUUGAAAUACUUUAAUAACUAAAUAAAUAAAAAAUAAAUAAAUUAAAAUUAAAAUACUUUAAAAUGAAUAUUUAUCUAAAAUAAUAAAACUGAAAGAAAUUUUAAGUUAAAACAGAAAAUAUAAAAAUAAGAUAGCCUAUAUUUAAAAGUGUAUAUUUAAAACUAUUUGAAACUAUAAUAGUAUUAAUGAUCCUAAAAUAACAGCAUAAAAUAUGACAUUAAACUUCUACCAUAAACAUUUUUAAGGACAAUAAAGAUCAACAAAUUAUCAGUCCUUGUGUUUAUUGAAUACAACUGCUUUAUUUUACAUUUUAGACAUCAGUACCACCAGUUAGUUUGUUUAUUUUUGCUCUGCCAAAAUAGUUCUAACCAAUUUCGAAGCACAGCAUCUCUGAGCACAGUAGUUUUGUUUUGUUUCUGAAUGAUGAUUGUUUCAUAAUAAAUAUUUUUAAAUUAUGCCAAGCCCAGAAUUAAUUUUCCUGAGGUUGCUGUUUUGAUCUCAAGGUUUUUCAAUUUUUGAUUAAAGAUUACGAUGGCAGACCAAUUUUUAUUUUUUUCCCCGGUGUAUUGACUUUCACGGUUUAAUUGUUCACCACAAGACUAGCAAUGUGCACUAUAAAUGUAAGUAGGGUCUAUUUUUUUAUUUGUCUGACAAUUUGAAAAUUGUUUAUAUUUACAAAAUACAUUUUGUAGUUGGUCAGUGAAAACAUUGGAAAUCUUUUAAUUGUACCUUUGUCAAUUAAAUGAAGGUUGGAGAAUGAUUUUAUUGCAUUUUACAAAACGUCCCAACUUUUCUGGGGUCCCACUUUAUAUUAGGUGGCCUUAACUACUAUGUACUUACAUUUAAAUGAAUCAUUUGAUACAAUGCACUUAUUGUGUACAUACAUGUUCUUAAAUUGUACUUAUAUUUUUAAUAAUACCUUUAUAUAAUUACAUCUGUAAUUAAUUUCUGUAAUUACAUUUAUAAUUACACUGUUGACCCAGGCCUGUGGGUUUCCUGUUUUGACAUGUUUAGAUGUUGCUGCAUAGUAGUUUCAACCCACUGCAAUAAAACAAAGACAGUUGUCCAGUUCUUGAAUUUACUCAUUGCAUGUGAAAUGUAAAGCAUAACAUUUUGGGCUUAUCUGCAUGUCUGGACUCUUUCUGAGGCUAAUCAUCUCAAUAAUCAAACAAAUACAGUAGCCUCUUUGCAUAUCUGUCUGAUGAAAAAAAAAGGUUAAAGAUUUACCUGAUCAAAAAUCAAAUCAGAGCAAAAAAGUAAAUGCAAGGUGACUGCAUACUGCUCUCACUCUUUGUAUGUUCACACAAUAACCCAAUUUACUGCUAACCCCUCAUGACACAGGCAUGCUUUAGGUAAAACUUUCCAUUGGUGUGAAUCAAUCAGAUGAUAGUUGACAUCUGCAUUAAGACCCUCAGCGCUGCCACUUAUUCACAAUCAUUCCCUGAGAUGGAGAGGCCAAGCCUUACUCUCAUCGCAGUCAUGUGUAAGAAAAAAAUAUACUUCAUUAGUUGUUUUUGAGAGUUUUUGAAUUAAAAUGUCACUAUUGUUAUAUUUUUGUGUAACACCACAAUAUGAAGUGCUUCAUAAAGUUAUUUUGUGCUUUUACAGUUUUACUAUUCCAUCAGAAAAAAAUCUAUGGAGAAGAAGAAAAUCUGUCAUGAAAAUCAAAUCUCUCAUGGAAACCGAACAUACAGUACUUAAACGUUUCAGUUCUAUCCACAAUCCCUACAAUAAUUCUUAUGAUCUAAAUAUUACUAACAUUAGUGUCUCUAAUCUGGGACUGUACUACUGUGCAAAACUAGAGAAAAAGAUAAAUGCAGAUGAAAAAGGCAUCAUCUCCUCAUCAGAAGUGUACUAUUAUGGAAAACGAACAACUCAUCUCUCUCUGGAAGUAUCUUCCUGUUCUGGACCCCUGAACACCACCUCCACACCACCUCCUGUAUCAGACUGUGUGCUCUGCUGGACGCUGCUGUUCAGUGUGUGUUCUCCUCUCAUCUAUCUGUGUGUUCUGCCUCUGGUGCAGGAAUACUAGAGAUUCUGCAACUGAUCAAAAAGACAAGCUGAAAAAUAGAAACAUUUUUGAGGUAUGACUUACGAAAACAUACAAGUUAAUCCACCAUAUGGAAGAUUUCAACUACAG